Pteropus vampyrus (large flying fox) is the source of this 163-nucleotide small nuclear RNA. Its record names the gene U1. It matches the Rfam family "U1 spliceosomal RNA". Rfam says of the family: U1 is a small nuclear RNA (snRNA) component of the spliceosome (involved in pre-mRNA splicing). Its 5' end forms complementary base pairs with the 5' splice junction, thus defining the 5' donor site of an intron. The record is from Ensembl. Lineage: Eukaryota; Metazoa; Chordata; Mammalia; Chiroptera; Pteropodidae.
AUACCUACCUGGCAGGGAGAUAUCAGAAUCACAAAGGUGGUUUUCUCAGGGAGAGGCUCAACCAUUGCACUCUGGGUGUGUUGAUCCCUGCAGUUUCCCCAAAUGUGGGAAAAUCAACUGAAUAAUUUGUGGUAGUUGGGGAUUGUAUUUGCACUUUCUCUGA